This 150-nucleotide small nuclear RNA is filed under the name Neogale vison (American mink). RNAcentral's name for it is "Neovison vison (American mink) U4 spliceosomal RNA (ENSNVIG00000019767.1)". The stretch from base 1 to 66 matches the Rfam family "U4 spliceosomal RNA". The record is from RNAcentral. Lineage: Eukaryota; Metazoa; Chordata; Mammalia; Carnivora; Mustelidae.
AGCUCUGCGCAGUGGCAGUAUAGUAGCCGAUGAGGUUUCUCCGAGGCGCGAUUAUUGCUAAUUGAUUCCCCCAUAUUAGAACCUAUCAGCAAUUUAGUGAUCUGAAAGGGAUGGGGGUUCCCUGCACUUAUUGGCAGAAUGGUAAUGAUU